CGAACUCCUACGGGAGGCAGCAGUGGGGAAUAUUGACACAAUGGGGGAAACCCUGAUGCAGCGACGCCGCGUGGAGGAAGAAGGUCUUCGGAUUGUAAACUCCUGUUGUUGGGGAAGAUAAUGACGGUACCCAACAAGGAAGUGACGGCUAACUACGUGC
This 160-nucleotide ribosomal RNA is filed under the name uncultured bacterium. Its description in RNAcentral is "partial 16S ribosomal RNA". It matches the Rfam family "Bacterial small subunit ribosomal RNA", at positions 332 to 508 of the family's 1533-position model. The record is from RNAcentral.